Molecule: ribosomal RNA, 315 nt
Filed under: uncultured bacterium
Lineage: Bacteria
Description: bacterial SSU rRNA
Rfam family: Bacterial small subunit ribosomal RNA
Source: RNAcentral
GAUGAACGCUAGCGACAGGCCUAACACAUGCAAGUCGAGGGGCAGCGGGGGAGUAGCAAUACUCCUGCCGGCGACCGGCGCACGGGUGAGUAACACGUAUGGAACCUGCCCGUCACAGGGGGAUAAGCGGAAGAAAUUCCGUCUAAUACCGCAUAACGUCUUUCCGGGGCAUCCCGGCGGGACCAAAGGGUAACACCGGUGGCGGAUGGCCAUGCGCCGCAUUAGCUGGUUGGCGGGGUAACGGCCCACCAAGGCGACGAUGCGUAGGGGUUCUGAGAGGAAGGUCCCCCACAUUGGAACUGAGACACGGUCCAA